UUUUUUGUGCAGAUACAACACACACACACAAACUCACACAGACAUUUAGUCUGACUUCCUCCCCUCUCUCGUGACCAAUCACCAGUGACCGGAGCAGGAGAUGAUGACUGAGCUCCGGCACCUCGGUUCUCCUUCGAUCUACACCCCCACCCCCUUUGCGAUUCAGAAACGGACCACCACCACCACUAACCGGUGGUGGUGCGGCGGUGCGACACAGAGAGAGACUGAGAGGCGAGAGAGAGAGAACCGGCGGUCUAAGACUCGAACCGCCGGUCGGUCCAUUUACCCGGUGGUCGGUGUUAAAAGUCCAGCGGUCCAAGACUUUAUCCAACGAGUUUUCCGUGCUGAUGCGGUUAUUCAACGAAUAUGCUCCAGUCAGAUUAUUCAACAUCAACUGGUUCCUUCUCCGAUGCGGUUUUGGUUCGGGUCAUGCUUUGGACCAGGUCAUUUGGGUGCCGGGUCAAGUCUCGUUUCAGUUCAAGGGGUGAACCCGGUUCAGGUUCCGGUUAAGUGGUUCGAGUUUUCAGUCAAUCUUGGUCAACGAAGUCAGCCGGUUAUCUCGGGUCAACUCAGUCAGCAGUUUCAGUGACGGGUUCGGCUCGACUCAGUCUAACUCGGCUCAACUUGGUGUAUUUCGGUUCGACUCGGUCGACUUGGUCGGACUGAGUCAACUUGGUCGAAGUCAGCCGGUCAACUCAGUUGACUCGGUCAACUCGAUUGACUCGGUAACCCAGUCAACAUUUUCGACGUUCAACACGAGAAAUGGAUGCUGGAAGAGGAUAUUGCUAACAUCUUGGGUGAUAUCCUGAGGUUUAUUAAUUAACCACGUGCAGAUUAAAGGCUGAGGCUUACUAACGGUCAAGAGGACUUCUUCUCCUCAGGACUCGGACGAGUUUGUUGAAGAAGAGACGUUGAGCCCGAAAGACCAGGUCUACAACGUUCGAUGAAGGAAUAUUCGGUGGAUCCCGCAAGUUUAGGAUAGUUUGUUAAUUUAUCUUUACUAUAAAUAGAUGUGGCGGAUCAGUUUAAGGCACACACUCUUUUCGCUAACACUCUUGUACACUCUUGCCCUCUAGAUUACUGCAAUCACCACACUUGUACCCAAUUCACGUUGUAACACAUAGUCGAUCCGCACCACAUCCUGCACUGUAUUCUGAUAUUUGAAGCAAUAGAAGAACAAGGCAUCUGCGAUUGUCAGCU
Long non-coding RNA from Helianthus annuus (common sunflower), 1200 nucleotides. RefSeq lists it as uncharacterized. NCBI's taxonomy places the organism in Eukaryota, Viridiplantae, Streptophyta, Magnoliopsida, Asterales, Asteraceae. The record is from RefSeq and is a predicted model, not a curated record. The transcript has 2 exons.